CACCUGAGGAUUUGUGAAAAUGCAGAUUCUAAUUCAGAAGAUGUGUGAUUCUGCAUUUCUAACAAGCUCCCACGUGGUG
RNAcentral lists this microRNA precursor (79 nucleotides) under Dipodomys ordii (Ord's kangaroo rat). Its description in RNAcentral is "miRNA (ENSDORG00000022869.2)". The record is from RNAcentral. Lineage: Eukaryota; Metazoa; Chordata; Mammalia; Rodentia; Heteromyidae.